AUUCCAGCUCCAAUAGCGUAUAUUAAAGUUGUUGCAGUUAAAAAGCUCGUAUUUGAAUUUUUGUCUGUUGGGGCCUUGUUCUGUCCUUAGUGGCGGAGUUUAGUGUCCCGACGGACUUCCUGGGGGCCAACUAGUUGGUGUUUCAUUACACUGAUUAGGGAACCCCCUCGUUUACUGUGAAAAAAUUAGAGUGUUUCAAGCAGGCGUUUCGCAUUGAAUACAUUAGCAUGGAAUAAUAAGAUAGGACUUUGGUGCUAUUUUGUUGGUUUGCACACCAAGGUAAUGAUUAACAGGGACAGUCAGGGGCACUCGUAUUCCGCCGAGAGAGGUGGAAUUCUCAGACCAGCGGAAGACGAACCACUGCGAAAGCAUUUGCCAGGGAUGUUUUCAUCA
This 393-nucleotide ribosomal RNA is filed under the name Prymnesiales sp. RNAcentral describes it as "partial small subunit ribosomal RNA". It matches the Rfam family "Eukaryotic small subunit ribosomal RNA", at positions 582 to 975 of the family's 1831-position model. The record is from RNAcentral. Lineage: Eukaryota; Haptophyta; Prymnesiales.